AUUGAACGCUGGCGGCAGGCCUAACACAUGCAAGUCGAACGGUAACAGGAAACAGCUUGCUGUUUCGCUGACGAGUGGCGGACGGGUGAGUAAUGUCUGGGAAACUGCCUGAUGGAGGGGGAUAACUACUGGAAACGGUAGCUAAUACCGCAUAACGUCGCAAGACCAAAGAGGGGGACCUUCGGGCCUCUUGCCAUCGGAUGUGCCCAGUUGGGAUUAGCUAGUAGGUGGGGGAACGGCUCACCUAGGCGACGAUCCCUAGCUGGUCUGAGAGGAUGACCAGCCACACUGGAACUGAGACACGGUCCAGACUCCUACGGGAGGCAGCAGUGGGGAAUAUUGCACAAUGGGCGCAAGCCUGAUGCAGCCAUGCCGCGUGUAUGAAGAAGGCCUUCGGGUUGUAAAGUACUUUCAGCGGGGAGGGAGGGAGUAAAGUUAAUACCUUUGCUCAUUGACGUUACCCGCAGAAGAAGCACCGGCUAACUCCGUGCCAGCCGCCGCCGUAA
RNAcentral lists this ribosomal RNA (506 nucleotides) under uncultured bacterium. RNAcentral's name for it is "partial 16S ribosomal RNA". It matches the Rfam family "Bacterial small subunit ribosomal RNA", at positions 30 to 523 of the family's 1533-position model. The record is from RNAcentral.